This 255-nucleotide ribosomal RNA is filed under the name uncultured bacterium. RNAcentral describes it as "partial 16S ribosomal RNA". It matches the Rfam family "Bacterial small subunit ribosomal RNA", at positions 524 to 778 of the family's 1533-position model. The record is from RNAcentral.
UACGAAGGUCCCAAGCGUUAUCCGGAUUUAUUGGGUUUAAAGGGUGCGUAGGCGGGCUAUUAAGUCAGUGGUGAAAGCCCCAAGCUUAACUUGGGAACUGCCAUUGAUACUGAUGGUCUUGAGUACAUUUGAGGUGGGCGGAAUGUGUCAUGUAGCGGUGAAAUGCUUAGAUAUCUGGAGGAAUACCGGUGGCGAAGGCGGCAUCCUGGACCAUAACUGACGCUGAGGCGCGAAAGCUAGGGGAGCAAACGGGAU